RNAcentral lists this transfer RNA (75 nucleotides) under Phragmitibacter flavus. RNAcentral's name for it is "Verrucobacter flavum tRNA-Cys". It matches the Rfam family "tRNA". From Rfam's summary of the family: Transfer RNA (tRNA) molecules are approximately 80 nucleotides in length. Their secondary structure includes four short double-helical elements and three loops (D, anti-codon, and T loops). Further hydrogen bonds mediate the characteristic L-shaped molecular structure. tRNAs have two regions of fundamental functional importance: the anti-codon, which is responsible for specific mRNA codon recognition, and the 3' end, to which the tRNAs corresponding amino acid is attached (by aminoacyl-tRNA synthetases). tRNAs cope with the degeneracy of the genetic code in two manners: having more than one tRNA (with a specific anti-codon) for a particular amino acid; and 'wobble' base-pairing, i.e. permitting non-standard base-pairing at the 3rd anti-codon position. The record is from RNAcentral. Lineage: Bacteria; Pseudomonadati; Verrucomicrobiota; Verrucomicrobiia; Verrucomicrobiales; Verrucomicrobiaceae.
GGCGAGGUAGCAAAGUGGUAAUGCGCUGGUCUGCAAAACCGGUAUGCGCGGGUUCAAUUCCCGCCCUCGCCUCCA